This 63-nucleotide transfer RNA is filed under the name Bathynomus sp. YS-2016. Its description in RNAcentral is "tRNA-Tyr". It matches the Rfam family "tRNA". From Rfam's summary of the family: Transfer RNA (tRNA) molecules are approximately 80 nucleotides in length. Their secondary structure includes four short double-helical elements and three loops (D, anti-codon, and T loops). Lineage: Eukaryota; Metazoa; Arthropoda; Malacostraca; Isopoda; Cirolanidae. The record is from RNAcentral.
AGUAAGAUGGCUGACAUUCAAAGCGGAGGAUUGUAAAUCCUUAUAUGGUAAUACCUUUUACUA